AGCGAACGCUGGCGGCAUGCCUAACACAUGCAAGUCGCACGGGGGGGCCUCGGCCUCCCAGUGGCGGACGGGUGAGGAACGCGUAGGGACCUGUCGAGGGGUGGGGGAUAACCGCGGGAAACUGCGGCUAAUACCGCAUGACGCCGCGGCGUGACAGCCGGGGCCAAAGGCGAAAGCCGCCCGCCGAGGGGCCUGCGUCCGAUUAGCUGGUUGGCGGGGUAGCGGCCCACCAAGGCGUCGAUCGGUAGCUGGUCUGAGAGGGUGAUCAGCCACACCGGGACUGAGACACGGCCCGGACUCCUACGGGAGGCAGCAGUGGGGAAUAUUGGACAAUGGGCGCAAGCCUGAUCCAGCAAUGCCGCGUGGGUGAAGAAGGUCUUCGGAUUGUAAAGCCCUUUCGGCGGGGACGAUGGUGACGGUACCCGCAGAAGAAGCCCCGGCUAACUUCGUG
RNAcentral lists this ribosomal RNA (451 nucleotides) under uncultured bacterium. RNAcentral's name for it is "partial 16S ribosomal RNA". It matches the Rfam family "Bacterial small subunit ribosomal RNA", at positions 28 to 507 of the family's 1533-position model. The record is from RNAcentral.